AACGCUAGCUACAGGCUUAACACAUGCAAGUCGAGGGGAAACGACAUCGAAAGCUUGCUUUUGAUGGGCGUCGACCGGCGCACGGGUGAGUAACGCGUAUCCAACCUGCCCACCACUUGGGGAUAACCUUGCGAAAGUAAGACUAAUACCCGAUGAUAUCUCUAGACGACAUCUGAAAGGGAUUAAAGAUUUAUCGGUGAUGGAUGGGGAUGCGUCUGAUUAGCUUGUUGGCGGGGUAACGGCCCACCAAGGCAACGAUCAGUAGGGGUUCUGAGAGGAAGGUCCCCCACAUUGGAACUGAGACACGGUCCAAACUCCUACGGGAGGCAGCAGUGAGGAAUAUUGGUCAAUGGGCGAGAGCCUGAACCAGCCAAGUAGCGUGCAGGAUGACGGCCCUAUGGGUUGUAAACUGCUUUUAUAAGGGAAUAAAGUGAGUCUCGUGAGACUUUUUGCAUGUACCUUAUGAAUAAGGACCGGCUAAUUCCGUGCCAGCAGCCGCGGUAAUACGGAAGGUCCGGGCGUUAUCCGGAUUUAUUGGGUUUAAAGGGAGCGUAGGCCGGAGAUUAAGCGUGUUGUGAAAUGUAGACGCUCAACGUCUGCACUGCAGCGCGAACUGGUCUUCUUGAGUACGCACAACGUGGGCGGAAUUCGUGGUGUAGCGGUGAAAUGCUUAGAUAUCACGAAAACUCCGAUUG
This 695-nucleotide ribosomal RNA is filed under the name uncultured bacterium. RNAcentral's name for it is "bacterial SSU rRNA". It matches the Rfam family "Bacterial small subunit ribosomal RNA", at positions 32 to 715 of the family's 1533-position model. The record is from RNAcentral.